GCUUGGCUUGCAGCCGGGCCACAUGUGGGAGUGUGUGAGGCGGAGGCUCCCAGGACUCGCAGACCUCGUCUGGCAACUGCUGCGCUGGGCCUGCGCGGAGAGUAGCUUGUGAACACUUUAGGGGCUGUGGCGAAAUAGCAGGAGCAAAAUGCUGAUGUAGAAGAGAGAAGAUGGGAUCAAGUGCAUAAGAUUUGCCCUUAAAUGGGAUCUCAGAGUUCAUCAACCCUAUGGAGAUGGACGGCAGAGAGCCUGGCACAUACACUGAACCUUGAGUUUGGCAGUUCAGAGGGAAUGCAGUGGAGUGAGUGUGAUGCUGAGGAGGAGGAUACUCCAGAGGCGCCAAAACAAGGAGGCACAUACCCGCCUGAUGUGUUCCCAGCAGCUGCAAACAGUUCGAUGCUGCCGCAGCAGAAUAUUUCAGUUAUUAAGGAUCCUGAAGUAACAGAUAAGAAUCCUGGAGAAGCUCACCCAUCCCUUCAUCCUUCUACUACAAUAAAAGAGGCUUCAUAUAACUGCUUGAGAAGAGACUUCAAACACUUUCCAUGCCAUUGUUGCUAUUGUGGGAUUGGUUGCUUGUCAAAGAUAUAUUUUAUUUUUCAACAUUCCUAACCAGGGAUUUUUUUGUUCACUGAGUUUACCAGGCUUUGAUCGUUACAAGCAGAAGAUAAGCUAGCAGACCACAUAUUGGAGUCUUGACUAUCCAGGACAAAGAGGUGUACAGGGACUCCAGGAACUGGCAAAACAAAAGGACAGGUCAGCAGGUGCAUGAGUGUUCUGCCCGUGAGCAUUCUUUGCCACCUGCUGCUGUGCCCAGCCAGUGGUCCCCGUAGCUGCUAACAAGAUCAUGACAAUUCAGAGCUCCACUAGGUCUGGCCUGGGUAGUCAAUGAAGUCUCCAGGGGAAAGAAAAGAAUGUUCUUACCUGAACUCCUCAUUGGCCUGGACUCAUUACUGGCUUCUCUAUAGUUGGACUAAAGCAACAGGAUAGCAAUUUAGGGAUGGCUGCUCUAAGCACAUCAGGGCACAUUUGCAGAGCAGAUGCAGUGGCACCAAGUUCAAGGGAACCCCUUAAGUGCCUCCUACUAGCAAUGUGGGUUUCAACCAGACCAUCCCAACAAGCUUCCUAAAAAGUGCAGAUGAUAACGCAAUAGCAGUUUCCAUGAGCUCUCACAGGUGAUGCAGUAUCUGAGGGAUUGGGCUAACACGGGGGCUGGGGUGGAAAAACAGCAGAAGAAAUAGCCACACUCAGCUCCUGGCCCAGAAAUCACCUGCUUCUCCUCCCAGCUCUGGCUUCACAAGCCACUCCCAUUCUUCAAUCUGCUUAUUGGUGCACAGGUCCCACUAUGUGCCAGGCAUGAGGCUGAGUGCUUUCCAUACUUUAUCUUAUAUAAUCCUCACAAUUCUGUGACAUAAAUAUUAGUAUCCCCCUUUCUCGGAUGCAGAAACUGAGGCUCUCAGUAUGGUUAAGUAUCUUGCCCAAGGUUAUGACAUAGAGCUGGGAUUCAGACUCAGGCUUUCUGACUCCAGACCUGCCCUCUGAACCCCUCACCCUUGCUCUUCAAAGUGGAGGCCCCAGAGCAGGGAUAUUGGCAGCAGCAGGAGGUAUCAGUAAUCACCUGGAGUUGUUAAAAAUGCAAUCUCCAAUCCCUCUGCCACGCUCCACAUGGAAAGAGAAUCUGCAUUUUAACAAGAUCCCUGGGAGAUUCAUGUACUUAUUAAUCUAGGGAGGAACCAGCUAGCUCCAGGCUUGCUCCCCAAUACUGUGCCUCUCCCCCACUUCCACUCCCAGUCCACGUCCAUCCCUGGGGACCAGGGAGUGCUGGAGGGAGGGAACGGGAUGGGACAGACGUGCAACUAGAGGAUGAGAUCGUAUACUAUGAGUAGCAGGGUCCGAAUCGGGUGCCCAGCUGAGUCUCAUUACUUCCAGAGAUGUAACGACUUCUGUUACUAUUUCCCAAGCCUGGCAAUGUUUCAUGAUGCUAAUGGGCUUCCGCACUCCUCCUUCUAAUGUUUCUCUUCAGUGCUUGAAUCGCCACCAGGGCAAAGCCACCUACUACUGGCCUCUGUUUCUCAGAGACUUUUAACAGCUGUAGAGCCCAUUUCAAUGCAGACCUGGUCCCUUUAAUAAGCGAGUUGGGACUUAAGCUCUGACUGAGGACGACUAUCCAGCCCUGGAAUCCGAGCUCUACUGUUGGGGCAGGGGUUAGCCAUGGUCCAGUCCUAAGGCCUUCACCCUGUGUCAGCCCAGGUCUAGAGGCUCUUCUAAAACAUAACCCCAAGUCCUCUCCAGACUCAAUGAAUCAGAAUCUCUACAAGGAGACCCAGGAGUCCUUGUUUCCAAAAUCUCUCCAGGUAGUUCUGGCAUAAUCUUAGGAGUAGCAACUGAAAACAGUUAUUUCUGUUCCCAGCCCCUCCCCUUUUGCAGCCAAAAUCCUGGGGACAAGGAGGAAUUUUGGUACUUGGUUACCCUCCCUAGUGAGAUGGUCCCAUUUUAUGUUGAGUUCAAGGUUGUUGUUUUUUUCAGCCUUUCAGUAACGUUGGAAUUUGCCUCUCUGAAAUGUCUACUGAUGGUCUCAUUUCUGUGCUCUGAGACCAAAGAAAAUAUGAUUGAUUCCUCUUCCACCUCCCAACCCUUCUAGUACUUAGAGGCAAAAUGAGAAAUGGAAGAAGUAUGGAUUUAGGAAUCUUUUAGAACUGGGUUCAAAUUGCACCUCUGUGUAACACAUGCUACAGCAUGGAUGAACCUUGAUGGCAUUAUGCUAAAUGAAAAAGAAAAAAGACACAAAAGGACAAAUAUUAUAUGAUCCCCCUCACAUGAGGUACCUGGAAUAUGCCAAGUGAUUGGAACAGCAGAAUAGUGGUUGCUAGGGGCUGGAGGAGGGGGAAAUGGGCAGUUAUUGUUCACGGGCUACAGUGUUUCUAUUUGGGAUGACGAAAAAAGAACUUUUUGGAAUGGCUGCAUGUCCUUGUGAAUGUACUUAAUGGUACUGAGUUUUAUAUUUUAAAAUGGAGAAAAAUGGUAAUUUUUAUAUUAUGUGUAUUUUGUACAAUAUAAUUUUAUUUUAAAUUGCAGCUCUAUCAUUUACUAGCUGCUCCUCUGAGCUGAGGGUUCCUCAUAUGUGAAAUGGUUAUAAUAAUAUCUACCAUGCAUGGUGUCUGAUAGCUUUACUUAAAGUACCUAGCACCCUAUUUGUCUUUUCAUGGAAACUUUAGAGCGGAAAUGUUUAUAGGUAAUGUAAUCAGUGAUGGGGAAUUGGGUUUGUAAUAGCUGGUGAUAUUAACACUGAGAUCAAAUCAAAAUGAGCAGUUAGGGAGGGCAGAAUUGACACUUUAAGAAGUCAGAAUGCAAAUGAGUUUUAAGACAAAACACUUCAGGGACAUUUCAGCUUUUAGUGGUCAGUUGAUCGAUGGACUCAGACUCCUGUCAGGGCUCCUGGCUGGUUCUGUUCUGUGGUUAGGAAGUGGACAGUCUGAGAAGCUCUGGCCAAGACAAGGGUUCCCAAACCUGGCUGUACUUCAGAACUGCCUGGAAAAAGUAUUAAAUAUAUGGCUCCUGGCCCCAUUCCUAGAGCCUCUGAUUCAGUAGGGCACUAGUUCAGGAUUUCAAUGGAUUUUUUUAUGUUCCCCCAAGUGAUUCUGAUGUGCUUCCAGAUGCGAGGACCUCUGGGCUGGGGACUACUGGCUGCCUCUGAUGCCCAAGUCAUUCAAGUGGCUGUGUGAGGAUGGAUUUUGAAAUAAGGGUUGGGACGCCAUCCCAGAAGGCCAAGGAGCCAGAAAAAGAGAGGGUAGCCCUGACAUGCGAUGAGUCAGUCAAAGAAUCCAGGAAGUGGCCCCAAGGAGUCAGA
This is a long non-coding RNA of Manis pentadactyla (Chinese pangolin), 3844 nucleotides long. RefSeq lists it as uncharacterized. NCBI's taxonomy places the organism in Eukaryota, Metazoa, Chordata, Mammalia, Pholidota, Manidae. The transcript is spliced from 4 exons. The record is from RefSeq and is a predicted model, not a curated record.